This is a small nucleolar RNA of Ornithorhynchus anatinus (platypus), 138 nucleotides long. The record is from RefSeq and is a predicted model, not a curated record. NCBI's taxonomy places the organism in Eukaryota, Metazoa, Chordata, Mammalia, Monotremata, Ornithorhynchidae.
CCCCUCUCAGGAUCUCACCUUGAGAGUUUCCAGUACUCUUCCAGUCUUGGCUUCGGGAGGGAGAAUUAAGCAGAGGCAUACUCAUUCCAUUCCUAGCUUGGGAAGUGGCUAGUGAGUGGAAAGCAAACUGCUACAAGU